RNAcentral lists this transfer RNA (63 nucleotides) under Abrus expansivus. RNAcentral's name for it is "tRNA-Leu". Lineage: Eukaryota; Metazoa; Arthropoda; Insecta; Hemiptera; Cicadellidae. The record is from RNAcentral.
UCAGUAUGGCAGAUUAUUGCAAUGAAUUUAAGAUUCAUGUAUGAGUAUUUUUAUUUUGCUGAA